CACGUAGGGGGCAAGCGUUGUCCGGAUUUAUUGGGCGUAAAGAGCUCGUAGGUGGUUCGGUAAGUCGGGUGUUAAACCCCCAGGCUCAACCUGGGGACGCCACUCGAUACUGCUGUGACUAGAGUCCGGUAGGGGAGCGUGGAAUUCCUGGUGUAGCGGUGAAAUGCGCAGAUAUCAGGAGGAACACCAGCGGCGAAGGCGGCUCUCUGGGCCGGUACUGACACUGGGGAGCGAAAGCGUGGGUAGCAAACAGG
RNAcentral lists this ribosomal RNA (254 nucleotides) under uncultured bacterium. RNAcentral's name for it is "partial 16S ribosomal RNA". It matches the Rfam family "Bacterial small subunit ribosomal RNA", at positions 524 to 776 of the family's 1533-position model. The record is from RNAcentral.